UGGGGAAUAUUGCACAAUGGGGGAAACCCUGAUGCAGCGACGCCGCGUGAACGAAGAAGGUAUUCGUAUCGUAAAGUUCUGUCCUAUGGGAAGAUAAUGACAGUACCAUAGAAGAAAGCUCCGGCUAAAUACGUGCCAGCAGCCGCGGUAAUACGUAUGGAGCGAGCGUUGUCCGGAAUUAUUGGGCGUAAAGGGUACGCAGGCGGUUUAAUAAGUCGUAUGUUAAAGAUCGGGGCUCAACCCCGUAAAGCAUUGGAAACUGAUAAACUUGAGUAGUGGAGAGGAAAGUGGAAUUCCUAGUGUAGUGGUGAAAUACGUAGAUAUUAGGAGGAAUACCAGUAGCGAAGGCGACUUUCUGGACACAAACUGACGCUGAGGUACGAAAGCGUGGGGAGCAAACAGG
RNAcentral lists this ribosomal RNA (403 nucleotides) under bacterium. Its description in RNAcentral is "partial 16S ribosomal RNA". It matches the Rfam family "Bacterial small subunit ribosomal RNA", at positions 355 to 776 of the family's 1533-position model. The record is from RNAcentral.